GAAAGGUUUGGGGUUGUAGCUGGCUUCUCUCCUCCUAGAGGUUUGGAGUAUGUGCACACCUUCUCUUUCAUCCACACACCCCUUGUGCACUUGUGAGACGGAGGCGAUUUAUUUCUCCUUUAACUUGGGGGGGAAUGGGUUUGCCUCCGUCUAUCAUCACAUAAAAUCUAAUUUAUUUAAAACUGAAUGUAAAAUUGGAUGUAACACAUCUAAAUACAAAGUUUCAACAACGGAUCUCUUGGCUCUCGCAUCGAUGAAGAACGCAGCGAAAUGCGAUAAGUAAUGUGAAUUGCAGAAUUCAGUGAAUCAUCGAAUCUUUGAACGCACCUUGCGCUCCUUGGUAUUCCUUGGAGCAUGCCUGUUUGAGUAUCAUGAAAUUCUCAAAGCAAAGUCUUUUUGUUAAUUCAAUUAGCUCUGCGCUUUGGAUUUGGGGGUUUUGCAGAUUAAAUUCUGCUCCUCUUAAAUGUAUUAGCUGGAUCUCCAUGAAACUUGGUUCCACUCGGCGUGAUAAGUUAUCACUCGUCGAGGACACCCGUAAAAAGGUGGCCAGGCUUUUUUCAAGGAUGAGCCGCUUCUAAUAGUCCAUUGACUUUGGACAAAACUUUAUGAUCUGAUCUCAAAUCAGGUAGGACUACCCGCUGAACUUAAGCAUAUCAAUAA
RNAcentral lists this ribosomal RNA (660 nucleotides) under Ceratorhiza oryzae-sativae. RNAcentral describes it as "eukaryotic LSU rRNA". The stretch from base 219 to 372 matches the Rfam family "5.8S ribosomal RNA". The record is from RNAcentral. Lineage: Eukaryota; Fungi; Basidiomycota; Agaricomycetes; Cantharellales; Ceratobasidiaceae.